RNAcentral lists this ribosomal RNA (553 nucleotides) under Neofusicoccum australe. RNAcentral's name for it is "eukaryotic LSU rRNA". The stretch from base 237 to 390 matches the Rfam family "5.8S ribosomal RNA". The record is from RNAcentral. Lineage: Eukaryota; Fungi; Ascomycota; Dothideomycetes; Botryosphaeriales; Botryosphaeriaceae.
UAGAGGAAGUAAAAGUCGUAACAAGGUUUCCGUAGGUGAACCUGCGGAAGGAUCAUUACCGAGUUGAUUCGAGCUCCGGCUCGACUCUCCCACCCCAUGUGUACCUACCUCUGUUGCUUUGGCGGGCCGCGGUCCUCCGCACCGACCCCCGUUCGGGGGCCGGCCAGCGCCCGCCAGAGGACCACAAAACUCCAGUCAGUAAACGUCGCAGUCUGAGAAACAAGUUAAUAAACUAAAACUUUCAACAACGGAUCUCUUGGUUCUGGCAUCGAUGAAGAACGCAGCGAAAUGCGAUAAGUAAUGUGAAUUGCAGAAUUCAGUGAAUCAUCGAAUCUUUGAACGCACAUUGCGCCCCUUGGUAUUCCGAGGGGCAUGCCUGUUCGAGCGUCAUUUCAACCCUCAAGCUCUGCUUGGUAUUGGGCUCCGUCCUCCGCGGACGCGCCUCGAAGACCUCGGUGGUGGCGUCUUGCCUCAAGCGUAGUAGAAAACACCUCGCUUUGGAGCGCAUGGCGUCGCCCGCCGGACGAACCUUUGAAUUUUUCUCAAGGUUGAC